RNAcentral lists this ribosomal RNA (397 nucleotides) under Bacillariophyta sp. RNAcentral describes it as "partial small subunit ribosomal RNA". It matches the Rfam family "Eukaryotic small subunit ribosomal RNA", at positions 582 to 975 of the family's 1831-position model. Lineage: Eukaryota; Bacillariophyta. The record is from RNAcentral.
AUUCCAGCUCCAAUAGCGUAUAUUAAAGUUGUUGCAGUUAAAAAGCUCGUAGUUGGAUUUCUGUUUUGAAUGUCCGGUCGGUUUAUUAAUUUAAAUGUGUACUAUGGAUAUUUGGAUCAUAUAUUGUGAGAGCCUGUUACUGUCAUUAAGUUGUCGGGUAGGCAAUCUCCAUCUUUUACUGUGAAAAAAUUAGAGUGUUCAAAGCAGGCUUAUGCCGUUGAAUAUAUUAGCAUGGAAUAAUAAGAUAGGACUAUGGUACUAUUUUGUUGGUUUGUGCACCAUGGUAAUGAUUAAUAGGGACAGUUGGGGGUAUUCGUAUUCCAUUGUCAGAGGUGAAAUUCUUGGAUUUAUGGAAGACGAACUACUGCGAAAGCAUUUACCAAGGAUGUUUUCAUUA